CAAGUGAUGAUUAUUGGAGGUAGAGCACUGUUUGGACGAGGGGCCCCUCUCGGGUUACCGAAUUCAGACAAACUCCGAAUGCCAAUUAAUUUAACUUGGGAGUCAGAACAUGGGUGAUAAGGUCCGUGUUCGAAAGGGAAACAGCCCAGACCACCAGCUAAGGUCCCAAAAUAUAUGUUAAGUGGAAAAGGAUGUGGCGUUGCCCAGACAACUAGGAUGUUGGCUUAGAAGCAGCCAUCAUUUAAAGAGUGCGUAAUAGCUCACUAGUCGAGUGACACUGCGCCGAAAAUGUACCGGGGCUAAACAUAUUACCGAAGCUGUGGAUUGUCCUUUGGACAAUGGUAGGAGAGCGUUCUAAGGGCGUUGAAGCAUGAUCGUAAGGACAUGUGGAGCGCUUAGAAGUGAGAAUGCCGGUGUGAGUAGCGAAAGACGGGUGAGAAUCCCGUCCACCGAUUGACUAAGGUUUCCAGAGGAAGGCUCGUCCGCUCUGGGUUAGUCGGGUCCUAAGCUGAGGCCGACAGGCGUAGGCGAUGGAU
RNAcentral lists this ribosomal RNA (536 nucleotides) under Staphylococcus aureus. RNAcentral's name for it is "partial 23S ribosomal RNA". It matches the Rfam family "Bacterial large subunit ribosomal RNA", at positions 883 to 1423 of the family's 2925-position model. The record is from RNAcentral. Lineage: Bacteria; Bacillati; Bacillota; Bacilli; Caryophanales; Staphylococcaceae.